UACGUAGGUCCCGAGCGUUGUCCGGAUUUAUUGGGCGUAAAGCGAGCGCAGGUGGUUUAUUAAGUCUGGUGUAAAAGGCAGUGGCUCAACCAUUGUAUGCAUUGGAAACUGGUAGACUUGAGUGCAGGAGAGGAGAGUGGAAUUCCAUGUGUAGUGGUGAAAUGCGUAGAUAUAUGGAGGAACACCGGUGGCGAAAGCGGCUCUCUGGCCUGUAACUGACACUGAGGCUCGACAGCGUGGGGAGCAAACAGG
RNAcentral lists this ribosomal RNA (252 nucleotides) under uncultured bacterium. Its description in RNAcentral is "partial 16S ribosomal RNA". It matches the Rfam family "Bacterial small subunit ribosomal RNA", at positions 524 to 776 of the family's 1533-position model. The record is from RNAcentral.